This 267-nucleotide ribosomal RNA is filed under the name uncultured bacterium. RNAcentral describes it as "partial 16S ribosomal RNA". It matches the Rfam family "Bacterial small subunit ribosomal RNA", at positions 793 to 1055 of the family's 1533-position model. The record is from RNAcentral.
GUCCACGCCGUAAACGAUGGGUGCUAGAUGUUGCUGGUAUUGACCCCGGCAGUAUCGCAGCUAACGCGUUAAGCACCCCGCCUGGGGAGUACGGCCGCAAGGCUAAAACUCAAAGGAAUUGACGGGGGCCCGCACAAGCGGUGGAGCAUGUGGUUCAAUUCGACGCAACGCGAAGAACCUUACCUGGGUUGGAACCCUCCAGAAGUCCUCAGAGACGAGGAUGUGCCCGCAAGGGAGCUGGAUGUCCAGGUGCUGCAUGGCUGUCGU